UACGUAGGGGGCAAGCGUUGUCCGGAUUUAUUGGGCGUAAAGAGCGUGUAGGCGGCCAGAUAGGUCAGCUGUGAAAACUCGAGGCUCAACCUCGAGACGUCGGUUGAAACCAUCUGGCUAGAGUCCGGAAGAGGAGAGUGGAAUUCCCGGUGUAGCGGUGAAAUGCGCAGAUAUCGGGAAGAACACCCGUGGCGAAGGCGGCUCUCUGGGACGGUACUGACGCUGAGGAGCGAAAGCGUGGGGAGCGAACAGG
Molecule: ribosomal RNA, 253 nt
Filed under: uncultured bacterium
Lineage: Bacteria
Description: partial 16S ribosomal RNA
Rfam family: Bacterial small subunit ribosomal RNA
Source: RNAcentral